RNAcentral lists this long non-coding RNA (772 nucleotides) under Salmo trutta (river trout). RNAcentral describes it as "lncRNA (ENSSTUG00000020543.1)". Lineage: Eukaryota; Metazoa; Chordata; Actinopteri; Salmoniformes; Salmonidae. The record is from RNAcentral.
CCUGGGGAGGGGGACUGUAGUGGAGAGGGAGUAGGGAAUAAAAAGGGAUGAAGGAGGAAAAGCAGACAGACUAACAGACAAGGAGGGAGGGAGACACAGUCAGAGGAAGAGAUAGACACACUAUCGCAGCUAUGCCCGAAGCCAAGAAGCCAGAGGCAGAGCCUGAAGAAAUUGCUGCCAAGACAGAUAAGGCUGCAGCAGCACCUGCUGGUGAGUCCACUCAUAACAAAUGGAUGACAAAUACUUUUACAUGAAAUACUUCAAUGAAUGGUUAGGCCUAUACUAAAAUCAAUGUCUGAUUCAAUUUUUCUCCUCUUUUUUUUUACAGAUAAGGGUGGGUGAGAACAGGACGUGUGUGCGUGUUAACUUGUGUCCCUUUGUGUGUGUUUGUGUUAGUCAGUAGGGCAUAAUCAUCCCCUCAUCAUUCCAAUGUAAUGUCGGUUAACUGUUUUCCCUCACUCAGCGAAGCCAGCGGAGGAUCAUGGUAAGGCCUCUAAGACCAAUCACAGAAGUAGCUUUCUGUGGGGAUGAGACUGAGAGUGGCCAUGCAUGAUUCUCACCACGCACCAUGACAGUGUUGAUCAGAUAGAACGACAAUACACUUAGGGCUUCACACGUUUAUAUUCACGCCUAUCACAAUUUCCUACUGGUUUAAGCAUGACAAAGCAGACUAUAUUCAUUUAAAUGAAAUAUUAGUCAUUAUUCUUCUGAUUCUUACUGGGUUUUUUUUAUUACCUGAGAUAACAGGUCACCAAUCAGUUGGUAAGAACUA